RNAcentral lists this ribosomal RNA (482 nucleotides) under uncultured bacterium. Its description in RNAcentral is "bacterial SSU rRNA". It matches the Rfam family "Bacterial small subunit ribosomal RNA", at positions 32 to 524 of the family's 1533-position model. The record is from RNAcentral.
AAUCAACGCUGGCGGCGUGCCUCAGACAUGCAAGUCGAACGAUUAAAGCUCUCUUCGGAGAGUGUAUAGAGUGGCGCACGGGUGAGUAACACGUAAGUAAUCUACCUUCGAGUGGGGAAUACCGUCCGGAAACGGACGCUAAUACCGCAUAAUGCAGCGGCAUCGUAAGAUGACAGUUGUUAAAGAUUUUAUCGCUUGAAGAGGAGCUUGCGGCAGAUUAGCUAGUUGGUAAGGUAAUGGCUUACCAAGGCUACGAUCUGUAACCGGUCUUAGAGGACGGUCGGUCACACUGACACUGAAUAACGGGUCAGACUCCUACGGGAGGCAGCAGUCGGGAAUUUUGGGCAAUGGGCGAAAGCCUGACCCAGCAACGCCGCGUGAAGGAUGAAGUAUUUCGGUAUGUAAACUUCGAAAGAAUAGGAAGAAUAAAUGACGGUACUAUUUAUAAGGUCCGCUAACUACGUGCCAGCAGCCGCAGUAAU